CCCAAAAUGAAAAUCUUAUCUUCCAUUUCCAGUCACCCUCAAAUUUUCUCGCCAUCCAAACAAAACUAACAGAUGAAAACAGAUCCUCCCAAUUGAACUGAAUCUGCUAAUUGUCAAAUGGCAAUUGCAACCGCAAAAUUAUCAGAAUUGCCACUGAGAAAUUCACUGCCAUUCCCACUCACCUGCCACUCCCUUUUCUCUUCUACGUUAAAGCCGCCCUUUCAAUCCCUCAGAAAGUCUUUCCGUCUUUCCUCUUCACUUCAAACCAACGAAAACCCUAAACCUACGAAUCAUAUUCCCUCCCCCAAGGCCCCCUGGCUCUCCAAAUGGGGCCCUGAUAAUCCCCCUCCUCCUCCGGCUACCGCUUCUGCUCCGGCUCCUAGAAAGGUUACUCAAUCCAGUUUUCAAGAUAAAACUCGGUAUUUGAACAAAGACAAAGGGCUAAACGCGAUAGAGAGAAUCGUGCUCCGAUUGAGGAAUUUGGGGUUAACUUCCGACGAUGAGGGUGAUGAAGAAGAAGAGGCAGCGGAGGAAAUUGAAUUCAGAGGUGGCGAUUUAGCGCCAGUAACCGGGGAGGAGAGAUUGGCAGAUCUAUUGCAGCGAGAGUGGGUUCGGCCAGACACUAUCUUUAGCAAUCAGGACGAUGAAGAGGACGAUGACAUGGUAUUGCCGUGGGAGAGAAAGGAAAGCGAGAGGAAGGGCAGAGAGGAGGGAGAGGGAGGGAGGGAAAGGAAACGAACUGUCAAAGCUCCAACAUUAGCUGAAUUGACCAUAGAAGAUGAGGAGCUGAGAAGGCUGAGGAGGAUGGGGAUGUUUGUAAGAGAGAGAGUUAGCAUUCCGAAAGCCGGACUCACGAAGGAUGUAUUGGAGAAGAUUCAUGAUAAAUGGAGGAAGCAGGAGUUGGUUAGGCUUAAAUUUCAUGAGGUGCUCGCCCAUGAUAUGAAGACUGCCCAUGAGAUCACUGAGCGUCGGACAGGGGGAUUAGUCAUAUGGAGGGCAGGAAGUGUUAUGGUUGUGUACCGAGGAAGUAACUAUGAAGGGCCUUCAUCCAAAUCUCGAACUGUUGAUAGAGAAGGGGAUGCUCUUUUUGUUCCAGAUGUUUCUUCUGCUGACAAUGCAGCAGUGACAAGCGACAAUGUUGCACUUGCAGCUUCGACUCCUGAAAAGAGGGAACCAACAAUGGGAAUGAUAAACCGUGCUGAGAACAUGACAGAAGAGGAAGCUGAAUUCAACCAUCUGCUUGAUGGUCUAGGCCCUCGUUUUGAAGAGUGGUGGGGCACUGGAAUACUGCCAGUGGAUGCUGACUUACUUCCUCCAAAAGUUCCUGGUUAUAAAACACCUUUUAGGCUUCUUCCUACUGGAAUGCGGUCAAGGCUUACGAAUGCAGAGAUGACUAAUUUGCGAAAACUUGCUAAAACGCUUCCUUGUCAUUUUGCCCUUGGGAGAAACAGAAACCACCAAGGUUUGGCAGCUGCAAUACUCCAGCUUUGGGAGAAAAGCCUUGUUGCAAAGAUUGCUGUGAAACGAGGUAUCCAGAAUACAAAUAAUAAACUAAUGGCUGAGGAGAUAAAGGCAUUAACAGGAGGUGUCUUAUUGCUUAGAAACAAGUAUUACAUUGUCAUAUACCGUGGAAAGGAUUUUUUGCCAACAAGUGUAGCUGCCGCUUUAGCAGAGAGAGAAGAAUUAACAAAACAGAUUCAAGAUGAUGAAGAAAAAGUGCGAAGCAAAGGAGUGGAGGCACCAUUAUCUGGGCACAAUGAAGGAAAGGCCCUUGCAGGUACCUUGGCAGAGUUCUAUGAGGCUCAAGCCCGGUGGGGCAAAGAUAUUUCUUCUGAAGAACGUGAAAAGAUGAUUGAAGAUGCUUCCAGAGCAAAAAGGGCCAGAAUUGUCAAACGAAUUGAACAUAAGUUAGCUGUUGCCCAAGCCAAAAAGCUUAGAGCAGAAAGACUGUUAGCCAAGAUAGAAGCCUCUAUGGUUCCUUCUGGUCCUGAUUAUGACCAAGAAACAAUUACUGAUGAGGAACGGGCAAUGUUUCGUAGGGUUGGCUUAAGAAUGAAAGCAUACUUGCCUCUAGGAAUUCGUGGUGUUUUUGAUGGUGUCAUUGAAAAUAUGCAUUUGCACUGGAAGCACAGAGAACUAGUGAAGCUGAUAUCCAAACAAAAGACUCUUGCAUUUGUUGAAGAUACAGCUAGGCUGUUGGAAUAUGAGAGUGGAGGGAUACUAGUGGCAGUUGAAAGAGUACCCAAAGGAUUUGCUCUUAUUUACUAUCGGGGAAAGAACUAUCGACGGCCUAUUAACUUGAGGCCAAGAAAUCUCCUGACGAAGGCAAAAGCACUGAAACGUUCUGUGGCCAUGCAACGCCAUGAGGCUCUUAGUCAGCACAUAUCUGAAUUGGAAAGAACCAUAGAGCAAAUGAAGAAAGAAAUUGGUCUUCCUCUAGAAGAAGAUGACAAGAAUAAUUGGACCUCAGAGGAACAGGGGCAGUUAAAUCAUGUCUCAGAAUUCAGCCAGAGAGAGGAUGAAUCUGCAUUUUUUGGAUCUGAUGAGGAAGGGGAUCAUGAUGACAUUGAUGAAGAUGACGAUGAUGACAUUGAUGAAGAUGAUGAUGAUGACCUUGAUGAUGAUGAUGAGGAUGAUGCUGAUUGGGAAUCCAGUGGAGAUUUUGAAUUUUUAGGCUUGCAAGAUGGUGAUCAUCCUUUGGACAAAAAUGGUUGACAGGUCUUUGAAUUUUUGAAGUGACUGGAUGGCAUUUUUUCUUGCAUAUGUCAAAAUGCAGCAUCAGGUUGACACAGCUUGGAUGAUUCUAUGGAUGAUGUAGCUGUUCGAGCAUUAUCUGGGCUAAGCUGGAAGACAAUUUUGAUUUGAUCAUUAAAUACCUACAUGUUGACUUCAUCACAAGCACCCUUCAUUGAUCAAAUGCUUUACUGUGUUCUAUGAGCUCGCUAUUUGUCUGAAACCCUUUUUUUUUUCCUUUAAAUCUUCAAUGACAACAAAACCAAACCGUCGUGACCAUGUAUUCAACGACUAGUGUGCCAAAGUGAGGAGCUUUUUCCAAGAUAAAAGUUGUGUAGCGUACUAGUAAGGAUGACGAUGGCUUCCAUUUUGUAGUGUUAUGAUGUCUCUGUUUGAUAUGUAGAGCAUUCUAUCAUCUUUAUUAUUGUAUAUUGUUUUGGGGUAACAAAAUCGAAUUCAAAUAUAUUGUUCGGUUACAGUUGCACUUUUGAA
Manihot esculenta (cassava) is the source of this 3225-nucleotide RNA transcript. It is a transcript of the gene named CRM-domain containing factor CFM3, chloroplastic/mitochondrial, with no coding region annotated. Lineage: Eukaryota; Viridiplantae; Streptophyta; Magnoliopsida; Malpighiales; Euphorbiaceae. The record is from RefSeq and is a predicted model, not a curated record. The transcript has 10 exons.